This 366-nucleotide ribosomal RNA is filed under the name uncultured archaeon. RNAcentral describes it as "bacterial SSU rRNA". It matches the Rfam family "Archaeal small subunit ribosomal RNA", at positions 150 to 524 of the family's 1478-position model. The record is from RNAcentral.
UGGUUUCUAGUCGAAAAGGCGUUGAAACCAUGCUUUUCGACGUCGCCUAAGGAUGGGGCCGCACCUGAUCAGGUUGUUGGUGGGGUAACGGCUCACCAAGCCUAUAACCGGUACGGGCCGUGAGAGCGGGAGCCCGGAGAUGGGCACUGAGACAAGGGCCCAGGCCCUACGGGGCGCAGCAGUCGCGAAAACUCCGCAAUGCGCGAAAGCGUGACGGGGCUACCCCGAGUGCCGUCCGCUGAGGAUGGCUUUUCCCCGGUGUAAUGAGCCGAGGGAAUAAGGAGAGGGCAAGACUGGUGUCAGCCGCCGCGGUAAUACCAGCUCUCCGAGUGGUAGGGAUGAUUAUUGGGCUUAAAGCGUCCGUAG